UAGUCUCCAGGCGUUUGUUUA
This is a non-coding RNA of Caenorhabditis elegans, 21 nucleotides long. NCBI's taxonomy places the organism in Eukaryota, Metazoa, Nematoda, Chromadorea, Rhabditida, Rhabditidae. The record is from Ensembl.